This 468-nucleotide ribosomal RNA is filed under the name uncultured bacterium. RNAcentral describes it as "partial 16S ribosomal RNA". It matches the Rfam family "Bacterial small subunit ribosomal RNA", at positions 28 to 507 of the family's 1533-position model. The record is from RNAcentral.
GACGAACGCUGGCGGCGUGCUUAACACAUGCAAGUCGAACGGAAAGGCCCUGCUUUUGUGGGGUGCUCGAGUGGCGAACGGGUGAGUAACACGUGAGUAACCUGCCCUUGACUUUGGGAUAACUUCAGGAAACUGGGGCUACUACCGGAUAGGAGCCCCCGCUGCAUGGUGGGGGUUGGAAAGUCUCGGCGGUUGGGGAUGGACUCGCGGCUUAUCAGCUUGUUGGUGGGGUAGUGGCUUACCCAGGCUUUGCCGGGUCGCCGGCCUGGGAGGGUGACCGGGCACAUUGGGACUGAGAUACGGCCCAGACUCGUACGGGGGGCAGCAGGGGGGAGUAUUGCACAGUGGGCGGGAGCCUGAUGCAGCGACGCCGCGUGCGGGAUGACGGCCUUCGGGGUGUGAACCGCUUUCGCCUGUGACGAAGCGUGAGUGACGGUAAUGGGUGAAGAAGCACCGGCUAACUACGUG